This is an unclassified non-coding RNA of Erinaceus europaeus (western European hedgehog), 283 nucleotides long. Its record names the gene 7SK. It matches the Rfam family "7SK RNA". From Rfam's summary of the family: 7SK was discovered as an abundant small nuclear RNA in the mid-70s but a possible function has only recently been suggested. Two independent studies have found that 7SK RNA binds the CDK9/cyclin T complex (known as elongation factor P-TEFb). P-TEFb activates transcription by phosphorylating the C-terminal domain of RNA polymerase II. NCBI's taxonomy places the organism in Eukaryota, Metazoa, Chordata, Mammalia, Eulipotyphla, Erinaceidae. The record is from Ensembl.
GGAUGUGUCUCUGAUCCAGCUGUGAAAUCUGCAUCCUAAUUUAUCCAGCAUUGAUUAGGCUGAUCUGGCUGGUUAGGCAGGUGUCACCUUCCAUUCACAGCCCCCCAUGUGCAUCCUUUCCUCAGUAGAAACAGACCCAGUCUUCUUCAGUGCAGGGUAUCCAAGUAGCUGCACUUCCCUGCUAGAACUUCACACAAGCUCUGAAUAUUCUAUGGAAGGCAAUGAUUCUCUAUCAGCCACUACAAUAAGGAUGCAUCAAGUUGACUUCUGGGAGGCGUAGUUU